AGCGAACGCUGGCGGCAGGCUUAACACAUGCAAGUCGAACGGGCGUAGCAAUACGUCAGUGGCAGACGGGUGAGUAACGCGUGGGAACGUACCUUUUGGUUCGGAACAACCCAGGGAAACUUGGGCUAAUACCGGAUAAGCCCUUACGGGGAAAGAUUUAUCGCCGAAAGAUCGGCCCGCGUCUGAUUAGCUAGUUGGUGUGGUAACGGCGCACCAAGGCGACGAUCAGUAGCUGGUCUGAGAGGAUGAUCAGCCACAUUGGGACUGAGACACGGCCCAAACUCCUACGGGAGGCAGCAGUGGGGAAUAAUUGGACAAUGGGCGCAAGCCUGAUCCAGCCAUGCCGCGUGAGUGAUG
This 357-nucleotide ribosomal RNA is filed under the name uncultured bacterium. Its description in RNAcentral is "bacterial SSU rRNA". It matches the Rfam family "Bacterial small subunit ribosomal RNA", at positions 29 to 410 of the family's 1533-position model. The record is from RNAcentral.